GACGAACGCUGGCGGCGUGCUUAACACAUGCAAGUCGAACGGAAAGGCCCUGCUUUUGUGGGGUGCUCGAGUGGCGAACGGGUGAGUAACACGUGAGUAACCUGCCCUUGACUUUGGGAUAACUUCAGGAAACUGGGGCUAAUACCGGAUAGGAGCUCCUGCUGCAUGGUGGGGGUUGGAAAGUUUCGGCGGUUGGGGAUGGACUUGCGGCUUAUCAGCUUGUUGGUGGGGUAGUGGCUUACCAAGGCUUUGACGGGUAGCCGGCCUGAGAGGGUGACCGGCCACAUUGGGACUGAGAUACGGCCCAGACUCCUACGGGAGGCAGCAGUGGGGAAUAUUGCACAAUGGGCGGAAACCUGAUGCAGCAACGCCGCGUGCGGGAUGACGGCCUUCGGGUUGUAAACCGCUUUCGCCUGUGACGAAGCGUGAGUGACGGUAAUGGGUAAAGAAGCACCGGCUAACUACGUGCCAGCAGCCGCGGUGAUACGUAGGGUGCGAGCGUUGUCCGGAUUUAUUGGGCGUAAAGGGCUCGUAGGUGGUUGAUCGCGUCGGAAGUGUAAUCUUGGGGCUUAACCCUGAGCGUGCUUUCGAUACGGGUUGACUUGAGGAAGGUAGGGGAGAAUGGAAUUCCUGGUGGAGCGGUGGAAUGCGCAGAUAUCAGGAGGAACACCAGUGGCGAAGGCGGUUCUCUGGGCCUUUCCUGACGCUGAGGAGCGAAAGCGUGGGGAGCGAACAGGCUUAGAUACCCUGGUAGUCCACGCUGUAAACGGUGGGUACUAGGUGUGGGGUCCAUUCCACGGGUUCCGUGCCGUAGCUAACGCUUUAAGUACCCCGCCUGGGGAGUACGGCCGCAAGGCUAAAACUCAAAGGAAUUGACGGGGCCCCGCACAAGCGGCGGAGCAUGCGGAUUAAUUCGAUGCAACGCGUAGAACCUUACCUGGGUUUGACAUGGAUCGGGAGUGCUCAGAGAUGGGUGUGCCUCUUUUGGGGUCGGUUCACAGGUGGUGCAUGGCUGUCGUCAGCUCGUGUCGUGAGAUGUUGGGUUAAGUCCCGCAACGAGCGCAACCCUUGUUCACUGUUGCCAGCACGUUAUGGUGGGGACUCAGUGGAGACCGCCGGGGUCAACUCGGAGGAAGGUGGGGAUGACGUCAAGUCAUCAUGCCCCUUAUGUCCAGGGCUUCACGCAUGCUACAAUGGCUGGUACAGAGAGUGGCGAGCCUGUGAGGGUGAGCGAAUCUCGGAAAGCCGGUCUCAGUUCGGAUUGGGGUCUGCAACUCGACCUCAUGAAGUCGGAGUCGCUAGUAAUCGCAGAUCAGCAACGCUGCGGUGAAUACGUUCCCGGG
This 1343-nucleotide ribosomal RNA is filed under the name uncultured bacterium. RNAcentral's name for it is "16S ribosomal RNA". It matches the Rfam family "Bacterial small subunit ribosomal RNA", at positions 28 to 1378 of the family's 1533-position model. The record is from RNAcentral.